GGUUAAGUUAGAAAGGGCGCACGGUGGAUGCCUUGGCACUAGGAGCCGAUGAAGGACGGGACGAACACCGAUAUGCUUCGGGGAGCUGUAAGCAAGCUUUGAUCCGGAGAUUUCCGAAUGGGGAAACCCACUGCUCGUAAUGGAGUAGUAUCCAUACUUGAAUACAUAGAGUAUGAGAAGGCAUACCCGGGGAACUGAAACAUCUAAGUACCCGGAGGAAGAGAAAGCAAAUGCGAUUCCCUGAGUAGCGGCGAGCGAAACGGGAACAGCCCAAACCAAGAGGCUUGCCUCUUGGGGUUGUAGGACACUCUAUACGGAGUUACAAAGGAAUGAUAUAAGCGAAGAGGUCUGGAAAGGCCCGCCAAAGAAGGUAACAGCCCUGUAACUGAAAUGUUGUUCUCUCCAGAGUGGAUCCUGAGUACGGCGGAACACGUGAAAUUCCGUCGGAAUCCGGGAGGACCAUCUCCCAAGG
RNAcentral lists this ribosomal RNA (472 nucleotides) under Bacillus safensis. RNAcentral describes it as "partial 23S ribosomal RNA". It matches the Rfam family "Bacterial large subunit ribosomal RNA", at positions 1 to 465 of the family's 2925-position model. The record is from RNAcentral. Lineage: Bacteria; Bacillati; Bacillota; Bacilli; Caryophanales; Bacillaceae.